Molecule: ribosomal RNA, 486 nt
Filed under: uncultured bacterium
Lineage: Bacteria
Description: bacterial SSU rRNA
Rfam family: Bacterial small subunit ribosomal RNA
Source: RNAcentral
AUUGAACGCUGGCGGCAUGCCUUACACAUGCAAGUCGAACGCGAAAGGGGGGCAACCCCUGAGUAGAGUGGCGAACGGGUGAGUAAUGCAUCGGAACGUAUCCAGUAAUGGGGGAUAACCCAUCGAAAGAUGGGCUAAUACCGCAUACGCCCCGAGGGGGAAAGUGGGGGACUCGCAAGAGCCUCACGUUAUCGGAGCGGCCGAUGCCGGAUUAGCUAGUUGGCGGGGUAAGAGCCCACCAAGGCGACGAUCCGUAGCUGGUCUGAGAGGAUGAUCAGCCACACUGGGACUGAGACACGGCCCAGACUCCUACGGGAGGCAGCAGUGGGGAAUUUUGGACAAUGGGGGCGACCCUGAUCCAGCCAUGCCGCGUGAGUGAAGAAGGCCUUCGGGUUGUAAAGCUCUUUCGGCCGGAACGAAAUCGCAUCUCUUAAUACGGGGUGUGGAUGACGGUACCGGAAGAAGAAGCACCGGCUAACUACGUGC